RNAcentral lists this transfer RNA (72 nucleotides) under Dipsosaurus dorsalis. RNAcentral's name for it is "tRNA-Ile". It matches the Rfam family "tRNA". Rfam says of the family: Transfer RNA (tRNA) molecules are approximately 80 nucleotides in length. Their secondary structure includes four short double-helical elements and three loops (D, anti-codon, and T loops). Further hydrogen bonds mediate the characteristic L-shaped molecular structure. tRNAs have two regions of fundamental functional importance: the anti-codon, which is responsible for specific mRNA codon recognition, and the 3' end, to which the tRNAs corresponding amino acid is attached (by aminoacyl-tRNA synthetases). tRNAs cope with the degeneracy of the genetic code in two manners: having more than one tRNA (with a specific anti-codon) for a particular amino acid; and 'wobble' base-pairing, i.e. permitting non-standard base-pairing at the 3rd anti-codon position. Lineage: Eukaryota; Metazoa; Chordata; Lepidosauria; Squamata; Iguanidae. The record is from RNAcentral.
GGAAAUGUGCCCGAAUCAACAAGGACUACUUUGAUAGAGUAAGAUAUAGAGGUUAAAAUCCUCUCAUUUCCU